UCUGUAGUUAAAAAGUAUAGAAGUAUUGUUUUGUUUCUAAACAUAAUCAAUCAUUUGGGUUCAGAAGAACUUUAUUUGUCGACUGGAGUCGUGUGGAUUAUUUUGAUGCACCCUAAAUAUGCAUUUUGGACCGUCAAAAAUGGAGCACGUUCACUUGCAUUGUUUAGAGGAGGAGGCCUGAAAUGAAAUCUUAAAAAUCUUAAAUUCUGUUUUGAUGAAGAAAGAAACUCAGAUAUGUCUUGGAUGGCCUAAGGAGAGACGUCCAGUGCUUUACCCCUGUUUCAUUUGCUUCAUGCUUCAGGAGGUUUUCUGUUUUACUGUGAGCCCCAGUUGAAGACAGAGAACUUACAGAUGUUGACCUCAACAAGUGUCAACCUGGACAGACAUCUAUUCCAGUCCUACCUGCACCACAUAAUACUCUUUUCUGCUUUUAUAUGGACGACUGUCUACUUGCAAAUUCUCUUCAAAAUUAGAUGUAUGCAAAUAUAACUUUAACUAAUUGUUGCAAUAGCAAAGAACUUGAUCCAGUUGCAGAGAAUCCCUUAAGUUAAAGGUGCAUUCAGUAAUUUGGGGCUAAUUUAAAAAGUUUUACACAUUAACAAAUGAAUUGUGUUUUUGUGAAGAGUGAUCUGAAUGGUGUACACUCACAUGAGAUGAAGACUGUACUCAUAAUAU
Long non-coding RNA from Myxocyprinus asiaticus (Chinese sucker), 675 nucleotides. RefSeq lists it as uncharacterized. Lineage: Eukaryota; Metazoa; Chordata; Actinopteri; Cypriniformes; Catostomidae. The transcript has 3 exons. The record is from RefSeq and is a predicted model, not a curated record.